This 254-nucleotide ribosomal RNA is filed under the name uncultured bacterium. RNAcentral describes it as "partial 16S ribosomal RNA". It matches the Rfam family "Bacterial small subunit ribosomal RNA", at positions 524 to 776 of the family's 1533-position model. The record is from RNAcentral.
UACGUAGGGUGCAAGCGUUAAUCGGAAUUACUGGGCGUAAAGCGUGCGCAGGCGGUGAUGUAAGACAGAUGUGAAAUCCCCGGGCUCAACCCGGGAACUGCGUCCGAUACUGGAAGGCUUGAAUCCGGGGAGAGGAGUGCGGAAUUCCAGGUGUAGCGGUGAAAUGCGUAGAUAUCUGGAGGAACACCGGUGGCGAAGGCGGCAUCCUGGACCGGCAUUGACGCUGAGGCGCGAAAGCCAGGGGAGCAAACGGG